Molecule: ribosomal RNA, 502 nt
Filed under: uncultured bacterium
Lineage: Bacteria
Description: bacterial SSU rRNA
Rfam family: Bacterial small subunit ribosomal RNA
Source: RNAcentral
AAAUGAAUAGACGGGGGCCCGCACAAGCGGCGGAGCAUGUUGCUUAAUUCGACGCAACGCGAAGAACCUUACCAAGGUUUGACAUCACCCGGACAGCCGCAGAGAUGUGGUGUUCUUCGGACUGGGUGACAGGUGGUGCAUGGCUGUCGUCAGCUCGUGUCGUGAGAUGUUGGGUUAAGUCCCGCAACGAGCGCAACCCUUGUUCCAUGUUGCCAGCACGCUCCUUCGGGGGUGGUGGGGACUCAUGGGAGACUGCCGGGGUCAACUCGGAGGAAGGUGGGGAUGACGUCAAGUCAUCAUGCCCCUUAUGUCUUGGGCUGCAAACAUGCUACAAUGGCCGGUACAGAGGGCUGCUAAACCGUGAGGUGGAGCGAAUCCCUAAAAGCCGGUCUCAGUUCGGAUUGGGGUCUGCAACUCGACCCCAUGAAGUCGGAGUCGCUAGUAAUCGCAGAUCAGCAACGCUGCGGUGAAUACGUUCCCGGGCCUUGUACACACCGCCCGU